This 393-nucleotide unclassified non-coding RNA is filed under the name Hevea brasiliensis (rubber tree). The record is from RNAcentral. Lineage: Eukaryota; Viridiplantae; Streptophyta; Magnoliopsida; Malpighiales; Euphorbiaceae.
CAGAGAUCCCACAUAGGUCAUGAUCACCAACAAUAUUAAAGACACCUUUCGCUGUGGGAUUAGGCUAAUGAACAGUAUAAUCCAAACAAAAUGAGUAUAAUAUAACGCAAAAUGGCUCAGGUUUCUAAUGAUUCUUUGAGCAGCUGCUUCUGGGCUUGAAGGGAUUUUAAAGGGACAAACCAUUUUGAAUUCUGCACGCUUGAAGUCGUUCCAAUUUGUUCCUGUUGUUGAAUCUCUGAGGUCACUGGAAUCAACUGUGGUGACUGAUCUUGGGGUGGCGCUUGGCCUCUGAAUUGCUCCAUAGCUAGCCAUGUCUCUUGAUUACAGAGAUAUAAUCUAAAAGUUUAUAAGGAUGAGCUCUUGGAUAUAAACGGUCAAAUAUGAAGUGUGAGC